CCUACGGGAGGCAGCAGUGAGGAAUAUUGGUCAAUGGGCGCGAGCCUGAACCAGCCAAGUCGCGUGAGGGAAGACGGUCCUAUGGAUUGUAAACCUCUUUUGUCGGGGAGCAAAAGACGCCACGCGUGGCGUUCCGAGAGUACCCGAAGAAAAAGCAUCGGCUAACUCCGUGCCAGCAGCCGCGGUAAUACGGAGGAUGCGAGCGUUAUCGGGAUUUAUUGGUGUUAAAGGGUGGGCAGGGGGAAGUUCAAGUCAGCGGGAAAAUUGAGAGGCUCAACCUAGUCGAGCCGUUGAAACUGGUAUGCUUGAGUGAGUGAGAGGUAUGCGGAAUUCGUGGUGGAGCGGUGAAAUGCAUAGAUAUCACGAAGAACUCCGAUGGCGAAGGCAGCAAACCGGCGCUCAACUGACGCUCAGGCACGAAAGUGUGGGUAUCGAACAGGAUUAGAUACCCUUGUAGUC
This 459-nucleotide ribosomal RNA is filed under the name uncultured bacterium. RNAcentral's name for it is "partial 16S ribosomal RNA". It matches the Rfam family "Bacterial small subunit ribosomal RNA", at positions 338 to 795 of the family's 1533-position model. The record is from RNAcentral.